AGUGAACGCUGGCGGUAGGCCUAACACAUGCAAGUCGAACGGCAGCACAGUAAGAGCUUGCUCUUACGGGUGGCGAGUGGCGGACGGGUGAGGAAUACAUCGGAAUCUACUUUUUCGUGGGGGAUAACGUAGGGAAACUUACGCUAAUACCGCAUACGACCUACGGGUGAAAGCAGGGGAUCUUCGGACCUUGCGCGAUUGAAUGAGCCGAUGUCGGAUUAGCUAGUUGGCGGGGUAAAGGCCCACCAAGGCGACGAUCCGUAGCUGGUCUGAGAGGAUGAGCAGCCACACUGGAACUGAGACACGGCCCAGACUCCUACGGGAGGCAGCAGUGGGGAAUAUUGGACAAUGGGCGCAAGCCUGAUCCAGCCAUACCGCGUGGGUGAAGAAGGCCUUCGGGUUGUAAAGCCCUUUUGUUGGGAAAGAAAAGCAGCAGGUUAAUACCCCGCUGUUCUGACGGUACCCAAAGAAUAAGCACCGGCUAACUUCGUG
Molecule: ribosomal RNA, 492 nt
Filed under: uncultured bacterium
Lineage: Bacteria
Description: partial 16S ribosomal RNA
Rfam family: Bacterial small subunit ribosomal RNA
Source: RNAcentral